RNAcentral lists this long non-coding RNA (451 nucleotides) under Androctonus crassicauda. The record is from RNAcentral. Lineage: Eukaryota; Metazoa; Arthropoda; Arachnida; Scorpiones; Buthidae.
AAAAGCAGCUUUGUUUAAUUCCAAACAAAAAAAAAAAAAAAAAAUUAUUCAACAUCAAUUAAAAGCAGCUUUGUUUAAUUCCAUAUAAGAAAUUUAAUUUGGUAUCAAGAACAUUAAUAACACGAAAGGAAGUAAAAUAUAUUCGCGUGGAUCGUCCGGGAUGAACUGUACAAGGUUAAAGCGAUUGUAUGUCAGGCCUGGUUCUACCGGGCGUGCAGAGCGUGCAUGCACGACCGCGGCCGAAUAUAGAGGGCGGCCGCCCAGCUCUGGAUUUUUGUCAUCGAAUGUCGCUUCAAAGAAAAACCGGCAAGGCAAAUCCGAAACACAAUAUGUGAACCUUAUGCACGAACGCAGCACAUUAAUCAAGAAUUUUGUUAAUGUUUAAUGUUUGUUUCUACAAUCUUCGUUAUUGUAAAAAACGCAAUUUUAAAUUUAAUUUUCAUUUUGGAAG